Molecule: ribosomal RNA, 427 nt
Filed under: uncultured bacterium
Lineage: Bacteria
Description: partial 16S ribosomal RNA
Rfam family: Bacterial small subunit ribosomal RNA
Source: RNAcentral
UGGGGAAUAUUGGACAAUGGGCGAAAGCCUGAUCCAGCCAUGCCGCGUGUGUGAAGAAGGUCUUCGGAUUGUAAAGCACUUUAAGUUGGGAGGAAGGGCAUUAACCUAAUACGUUAGUGUUUUGACGUUACCGACAGAAUAAGCACCGGCUAACUCUGUGCCAGCAGCCGCGGUAAUACAGAGGGUGCAAGCGUUAAUCGGAAUUACUGGGCGUAAAGCGCGCGUAGGUGGUUUGUUAAGUUGGAUGUGAAUUCCCCGGGCUCCACCUGGGAACUGCAUUCAAAACUGACUGACUAGAGUAUGGUAGAGGGUGGUGGAAUUUCCGGUGUAGCGGUGAAAUGCGUAGAUAUAGGAAGGAACACCAGUGGCGAAGGCGACCACCUGGACUAAUACUGACACUGAGGUGCGAAAGCGUGGGGAGCAAACA